RNAcentral lists this ribosomal RNA (1436 nucleotides) under uncultured bacterium. RNAcentral describes it as "bacterial SSU rRNA". It matches the Rfam family "Bacterial small subunit ribosomal RNA". The record is from RNAcentral.
ACAGGUUUGAGAGUUUGAUCCUCAGCUCAGGAUGAACGCUAGCGGUGUGCCUAAUGCAUGCAAGUCGAACGGUAGCUCUUGGAUUCUAUCUGGGAGUGAGAGUGGCGGACGGGUGAGUAACGCGUUGGUGACCUACCUCAGAGAUAUGGGGACAACCAUUGGAAACGAUGGCUAAUACCCCAGAUGUCGCACUAUUUGGAAAGGUGUGACUAAAGCUUCGGCGCUCUGAGAGGGGCCAGCGUCCCAUCAGCUAGUUGGUAACCUAAUGGCUUACCAAGGCAAAGACGGGUAGGGGGCGUGAGAGCGUGCCUUCCACACACUGGUACUGUAGACACGGACCAGAUACCUGCGGGUAGCAGCAGCAAGGAAUAUUGCGCAUAGGACGAAAGUCUGACGCAGCAACACCGCGUGAGGGAUGAAGGCCUUCGGGUCGUAAACCUCUUCAGUGGGGGCAGAGAUAUGGACGGUACCCCAACAUAAGUCUCGGCUAACUAGUGCAGCAGUUUGCGGUAAAACGUAGGAGGCGAGCGUCCUCCGGAUUUACUGGGCGUAAAGCGCAUGCAGGCGGUUUUUUAAGUUGGACGUGAAAUUCUCCUGGCUCAACUGGGAGAGGUCGUUCAAGACUGGAAGACUUGAGGAUGAUGGAAGGAGAGUGGAAUUCCCGGUGUAUAUCCUGAAAUGCGUAGCAAUCGGGAGGAACUAUAGUGGCGAAAGCGGCUCUCUGGGUCAUUCCUGACGCUCAGAUGCGAAAGCUAGGGGAGAGAACGGGAUUCAGACCCCGGUAUUCCUAGCCGUAAACGAUGUCAACUAGGUGUAGGAGGUUAUUGACCUAUCCCUGUGCUAAAGCUAACGCAUACGUUGACCGCCUGGGGACUACGGUAUCAGGCUAAAACUCAAAGGAAUUGACGGGGCCCUUCCCACAUUCAGAUCCGCGUGUGGUUUAAUUCUAUAGGCUACGCGAAGAACCUUACCAGGGCUUGACAUAUACGUGGUAGUGAUUGGAAACAUGAUCGACAGCUUCGGGGAGCGUAUACAGGUGCUGCAUGGCUGUCGUCAGCUCGUGCCGUGUAUGUGUUAGGUUAAGUCCUGUAACGAGCGCAACCCUCGUCGACCAGUUAUACAGUGUCUAACGAGACUGCCGGUGAUAAGCCGGAGGAAGGUAAGGUAGACGUCAAGUCAGCACAGGCCUUUAUGUCCUGGGCUACACACACGCUACAAUGGCCGACACAAUGGGUAGCCAAGUCGUGAGACGGAGCCAAUCCUCCAAAGUCGGUCUCAGUUCGGAUUGCAGGCUGCAACUCGCCUGCAUGACAGUUCGGAGUUGCUAGUAAACGUGUGUCAGCAACACGCGUUGCCUACGUCAGUUGGGGCUUGUACACACCGCCCGUCACGUCAUGGAAGUUGUAUACGCCUGAAGUCAGUGAGCCACCCUACAG